Molecule: ribosomal RNA, 467 nt
Filed under: uncultured bacterium
Lineage: Bacteria
Description: partial 16S ribosomal RNA
Rfam family: Bacterial small subunit ribosomal RNA
Source: RNAcentral
GACGAACGCUGGCGGCGUGCUUAACAUAUGCAAGUCGAACGGAAAGGCCCUGCUUUUGUGGGGUGCUCGAGUGGCGAACGGGUGAGUAACACGUGAGUAACCUGCCCUUGACUUUGGGAUAACUUCAGGAAACUGGGGCUAAUACCGGAUAGGAGCUCCUGCUGCAUGGUGGGGGUUGGAAAGUUUCGGCGGUUGGGGAUGGACUCGCGGCUUAUCAGCUUGUUGGUGGGGUAGUGGCUUACCAAGGCUUUGACGGGUAGCCGGCCUGAGAGGGUGACCGGCCACAUUGGGACUGAGAUACGGCCCAGACUCCUACGGGAGGCAGCAGUGGGGAAUAUUGCACAAUGGGCGGAAGCCUGAUGCAGCAACGCCGCGUGCGGGAUGACGGCCUUCGGGUUGUAAACCGCUUUCGCCUGUGACGAAGCGUGAGUGACGGUAAUGGGUAAGAAGCACCGGCUAACUACGUG